Molecule: transfer RNA, 72 nt
Filed under: Coconut palm phytoplasma
Lineage: Bacteria; Bacillati; Mycoplasmatota; Mollicutes; Acholeplasmatales; Acholeplasmataceae
Description: tRNA-Ile
Rfam family: tRNA
About the family: Transfer RNA (tRNA) molecules are approximately 80 nucleotides in length. Their secondary structure includes four short double-helical elements and three loops (D, anti-codon, and T loops).
Source: RNAcentral
GGCCUAUAGCUCAGUUGGUUAGAGCACACGCCUGAUAAGCGUGAGGUCGGUGGUUCAAGUCCAUUUAGGCCC